RNAcentral lists this ribosomal RNA (915 nucleotides) under uncultured eukaryote. RNAcentral describes it as "bacterial SSU rRNA". It matches the Rfam family "Eukaryotic small subunit ribosomal RNA", at positions 561 to 1471 of the family's 1831-position model. The record is from RNAcentral.
CUUGUGCCAAGCAGCCGCGGUAAUUCCAGCUCCAAUAGCGUAUAUUAAAGUUGUUGCAGUUAAAAAGCUCGUAGUUGGAUUUCUGGUCGAAACCGCAAGCCCAACCCCGAGAGGGGUUGUUUGUGCUUUUAGCGUUUUGUUUCUGACCAUAAUCGGUUUUGGAGUCUUUUAUUUCUUUAUGGAAUUUAAGAUCUCCCCGUCUGUCACUGUGAGUAAAUCAAAGUGUUCAAAGCAGGCUUUUUUAUUUAAAAGCCACUGAAUGUGUUAGCAUGGAAUGACAAAAUAAGAUCUUGGUUUUGUUUUGUUGGUUUGAAAUCCGGGAUAAUGAUUAAUAGGGACAGUUGGGGGUAUUCGUAUUUUAUUGUCAGAGGUGAAAUUCUUGGAUUUAUGGAAGACGAACAACUGCGAAAGCAUUUACCAAGGAUGUUUUCAUUAAUCAAGAACGAAAGUUAGGGGAUCAAAGAUGAUCAGAUACCAUCGUAGUCUUAACCAUAAACUAUGCCGACUUGGGAUUCGUGAGUGAUUGUUUUUUCGACCUCAUGAGCACCAAAUGAGAAAUCAAAGUCUUUGGGUUCCGGGGGGAGUAUGGUCGCAAGGCUGAAACUUAAAGAAAUUGACGGAAGGCCACCACAACGGAGUGGAGCUUGCGGUUUAAUUUGAUUCAACACGGGAAACCUUACCAGGUCCAGACAUAAAAAGGAUUGACAGAUUGAGAGCUCUUUCUUGAUUUUAUGGUUGGUGGUGCAUGGCCGUUCUUAGUUCGUGGAGUGAUUUGUCAUUGCUUGAUUGCGGUAACGAACGAGACCUUUGCAUGCUAAAUAGUUUCUUGUAUCUACGGAUAUAAGUCAAACUUCUUAGAUGGACUUUGUGCGUCAAGCACACGGAAGUUAGAGGCAAUAACAGGUCUGUGAUGCC